UGGAUGAUCAGUCAACACAAGGGAAUGACUUGAGAUACUUCCAACAUGUUCAAAUGGGGUCUAUUCAUCAGUCAAAACGUUAAUCUUGAAGGAGCAAAAGUUUGUUCAUGAACUGUCAUGCUCUCAAGGCGAAGCCCACGCGUUCCGAAAAAAAAAACAAAUAAAUAAAUAAAUAAAUAAAUAAAAUAUAACAGAAAAAUCUUGGACUCGAACCUCUCUCUUUUGAGCCCACAAAGUCACAAAAAU
RNAcentral lists this long non-coding RNA (246 nucleotides) under Lathyrus oleraceus (garden pea). RNAcentral's name for it is "Pisum sativum (pea) long non-coding RNA (PSAT_LNC024823)". Lineage: Eukaryota; Viridiplantae; Streptophyta; Magnoliopsida; Fabales; Fabaceae. The record is from RNAcentral.